UAUGCCCGAGCAGGAUGAAGCCAGAGGAAACUCUGGUGGAGGUCCGCAGCGAUUCUGACGUGCAAAUCGAUCGCCCGACUUGGGUAUAGGGGCGAAAGACUAAUCGAACCAUCUA
RNAcentral lists this ribosomal RNA (115 nucleotides) under Amphipholis squamata. Its description in RNAcentral is "partial 28S large subunit ribosomal RNA". It matches the Rfam family "Eukaryotic large subunit ribosomal RNA", at positions 832 to 946 of the family's 3401-position model. Lineage: Eukaryota; Metazoa; Echinodermata; Ophiuroidea; Amphilepidida; Amphiuridae. The record is from RNAcentral.